CCUACGGGCGGCUGCAGUGAGGAAUAUUGGUCAAUGGGCGCGAGCCUGAACCAGCCAAGCCGCGUGAGGGAAGACGGUCCUAUGGAUUGUAAACCUCUUUUGUCGGGGAGCAAAAGACGCCACGCGUGGCGUUCCGAGAGUACCCGAAGAAAAAGCAUCGGCUAACUCCGUGCCAGCAGCCGCGGUAAUACGGAGGAUGCGAGCGUUAUCCGGAUUUAUUGGGUUUAAAGGGUGCGCAGGCGGAAGAUCAAGUCAGCGGUAAAAUUGAGGGGCUCAACCUCUUCGAGCCGUUGAAACUGGUUGUCUUGAGAGAGUGAGAGGUAUGCGGAAUGCGUGGUGUAGCGGUGAAAUGCAUAGAUAUCGCGCAGAACUCCGAUUGCGAAGGCAGCAUACCGGCGCUGAACUGACGCUCAGGCACGAAAGUGUGGGUAUCGAACAGGAUUAGAUACCCUAGUAGUC
This 459-nucleotide ribosomal RNA is filed under the name uncultured bacterium. Its description in RNAcentral is "partial 16S ribosomal RNA". It matches the Rfam family "Bacterial small subunit ribosomal RNA", at positions 338 to 795 of the family's 1533-position model. The record is from RNAcentral.